AUAUCAAUAAGCGGAGGAAAAGAAACCAACAGGGAUUGCCUCAGUAACGGCGAGUGAAGCGGCAACAGCUCAAAUUUGAAAUCUGGCUCUUUUAGGGUCCGAGUUGUAAUUUGUAGAAGAUGCUUCGAGUGUGGCUCUAGCCUAAGUUCCUUGGAACAGGACGUCAUAGAGGGUGAGAAUCCCGUAUGCGGCUGGUAGCUUUCGCUCAUGUGAAGCUCUUUCGACGAGUCGAGUUGUUUGGGAAUGCAGCUCAAAAUGGGUGGUAAAUUUCAUCUAAAGCUAAAUAUUGGCCAGAGACCGAUAGCGCACAAGUAGAGUGAUCGAAAGAUGAAAAGCACUUUGGAAAGAGAGUUAAACAGUACGUGAAAUUGUUGAAAGGGAAGCGCUUGCAACCAGACUUGCGCGUAGCUGAUCAUCCAGAGUUUUCUCUGGUGCACUCGGUUGCGCUCAGGCCAGCAUCAGUUUAGGUGGUUGGAUAAAGGCCUUGGGAAUGUAGCUCCUCUCGGGGAGUGUUAUAGCCCUCGGUGCAAUGCAGCCUACCUGGAUUGAGGACCGCGCUUCGGCUAGGAUGCUGGCAUAAUGGUUGUAAGCGA
This 593-nucleotide ribosomal RNA is filed under the name uncultured fungus. RNAcentral's name for it is "eukaryotic LSU rRNA". It matches the Rfam family "Eukaryotic large subunit ribosomal RNA", at positions 40 to 647 of the family's 3401-position model. Lineage: Eukaryota; Fungi. The record is from RNAcentral.